Non-coding RNA from Felis catus (domestic cat), 47 nucleotides. The record is from Rfam. Lineage: Eukaryota; Metazoa; Chordata; Mammalia; Carnivora; Felidae.
CAAAUGAUUUUUUUAAAAAUCACAAAAUAAGUACAAAGCCAUCUAAU